Molecule: ribosomal RNA, 474 nt
Filed under: Klebsiella pneumoniae
Lineage: Bacteria; Pseudomonadati; Pseudomonadota; Gammaproteobacteria; Enterobacterales; Enterobacteriaceae
Also listed under: 3 other names
Description: bacterial SSU rRNA
Rfam family: Bacterial small subunit ribosomal RNA
Source: RNAcentral
UAAUUGAAGAGUUUGAUCAUGGCUCAGAUUGAACGCUGGCGGCAGGCCUAACACAUGCAAGUCGAGCGGUAACAGGAGAAAGCUUGCUUUCUUGCUGACGAGCGGCGGACGGGUGAGUAAUGUAUGGGGAUCUGCCCGAUAGAGGGGGAUAACUACUGGAAACGGUGGCUAAUACCGCAUAAUGUCUACGGACCAAAGCAGGGGCUCUUCGGACCUUGCACUAUCGGAUGAACCCAUAUGGGAUUAGCUAGUAGGUGGGGUAAAGGCUCACCUAGGCGACGAUCUCUAGCUGGUCUGAGAGGAUGAUCAGCCACACUGGGACUGAGACACGGCCCAGACUCCUACGGGAGGCAGCAGUGGGGAAUAUUGCACAAUGGGCGCAAGCCUGAUGCAGCCAUGCCGCGUGUAUGAAGAAGGCCUUAGGGUUGUAAAGUACUUUCAGCGGGGAGGAAGGUGAUAAGGUUAAUACCCUUA